This 497-nucleotide ribosomal RNA is filed under the name uncultured bacterium. Its description in RNAcentral is "partial 16S ribosomal RNA". It matches the Rfam family "Bacterial small subunit ribosomal RNA", at positions 28 to 507 of the family's 1533-position model. The record is from RNAcentral.
GAUGAACGCUGGCGGCGUGCCUAAUACAUGCCAGUCGAGCUAACGGACGGGAAGCUUGCUCUUCUGCUGUUAGCGGCGGACGGGUGAGUAACACGUGGAUCACCUACUUCUUAGUCUGGGAUAACUACGGGAAAAAGGAUAUACUACUGGCUCAUAUUUUGUACGGCAUGGAUCAAAAGUGCUUGACGGCUUUGCCGUUACAAUUAGCUGGAUCCGCGUUGCAUUAGCUAGUUGGUAAGGUAACGGCAUACCAAGGCAACGAUGCAUAGCUGACCUGAGAGGGUGAUCGGCCACACUGGAACUGAGACACGGUCCAGACUCCUACGGGAGGCAGCAGUGGGGAAUCUUCCACAAUGGGCGAAAGCCUGACGGAGCAACGCCGCGUGAGUGAAGAAGGUCUUCGGAUCGUAAAACUCUGUUAUUGGGAAAGAACAUAUGUAUGAGUAACUGUGCACGUCUUGACGGUACCUAAUCAAAAAGCCACGGCUAACUACGUG